GUAAUGCAUAGGAAUCUACCUAGUAGUAUGGGAUAGCCACUAGAAAUGGUGGGUAAUACUGUAUAAUCCCUGCGGGGGAAAGAUUUAUCGCUAUUAGAUGAGCCUAUGUUAGAUUAGCUAGUUGGUAGGGUAAAGGCCUACCAAGGCGAUGAUCUAUAGCUGGUCUGAGAGGAUGAUCAGCCACACUGGAACUGAGAUACGGUCCAGACUCCUACGGGAGGCAGCAGUGGGGAAUAUUGGACAAUGGGCGCAAGCCUGAUCCAGCUAUGCCGCGUGAGUGAGGAAGGCCUUAGGGUUGUAAAACUCUUUCAGUAGGGAAGAUAAUGACGGUACCUACAGAAGAAGUCCCGGCAAACUCCGUGCCAGCAGCCGCGGUAAUACGGAGGGGGCAAGCGUUGUUCGGAAUUAUUGGGCGUAAAGGGCAUGUAGGCGGUUCGGUAAGUUAAAGGUGAAAUGCCAGGGCUUAAC
This 468-nucleotide ribosomal RNA is filed under the name uncultured Anaplasma sp. RNAcentral's name for it is "bacterial SSU rRNA". It matches the Rfam family "Bacterial small subunit ribosomal RNA", at positions 110 to 613 of the family's 1533-position model. Lineage: Bacteria; Pseudomonadati; Pseudomonadota; Alphaproteobacteria; Rickettsiales; Anaplasmataceae. The record is from RNAcentral.